Molecule: ribosomal RNA, 467 nt
Filed under: uncultured bacterium
Lineage: Bacteria
Description: partial 16S ribosomal RNA
Rfam family: Bacterial small subunit ribosomal RNA
Source: RNAcentral
ACGCACGCUGGCGGCUUGCUUCACACAUGCAAGUCGCACGGAAAGGCCCUGCUUUUGUGGGGUGCUCGAGUGGCGAACGGGUGAGUAACACGUGAGUAACCUGCCCUUGACUUUGGGAUAACUUCAGGAAACUGGGGCUAAUACCGGAUAGGAGCUCCUGCUGCAUGGUGGGGGUUGGAAAGUUUCGGCGGUUGGGGAUGGACCCGCGGCUUAUCAGCUUGUUGGUGGGGUAGUGGCUUACCAAGGCUUUGACGGGUAGCCGGCCUGAGAGGGUGACCGGCCACAUUGGGACUGAGAUACGGCCCAGACUCCUACGGGAGGCAGCAGUGGGGAAUAUUGCACAAUGGGCGGAAGCCUGAUGCAGCAACGCCGCGUGCGGGAUGACGGCCUUCGGGUUGUAAACCGCUUUCGCCUGUGACGAAGCGUGAGUGACGGUAAUGGGUAAAGAAGCACCGGCUAACUACGUG